CCACCACCUUGAGUGGUUAAGGCUCCCAGUAGACGACUGGGUUGAUAGGCCAGAUGUGGAAGCCCGGUAACGGGUGGAGCUGACUGGUACUAAUAGGCCGAGGGCUUGUCCUCAGUUG
Molecule: ribosomal RNA, 118 nt
Filed under: Streptomyces sp. SID8358
Lineage: Bacteria; Bacillati; Actinomycetota; Actinomycetes; Kitasatosporales; Streptomycetaceae
Description: partial 23S ribosomal RNA
Rfam family: Bacterial large subunit ribosomal RNA
Source: RNAcentral